AGGACGAACGCUGGCGGCGUGCUUAACACAUGCAAGUCGAGCGGUAAGGCCUUUCGGGGUACACGAGCGGCGAACGGGUGAGUAACACGUGGGUGAUCUGCCCUGCACUUCGGGAUAAGCCUGGGAAACUGGGUCUAAUACCGGAUAUGACCUCCUAUCGCGUGGUGGGUGGUGGAAAGAUUUAUCGGUGCAGGAUGGGCCCGCGGCCUAUCAGCUUGUUGGUGGGGUAAUGGCCUACCAAGGCGACGACGGGUAGCCGACCUGAGAGGGUGACCGGCCACACUGGGACUGAGACACGGCCCAGACUCCUACGGGAGGCAGCAGUGGGGAAUAUUGCACAAUGGGCGAAAGCCUGAUGCAGCGACGCCGCGUGAGGAUGACGGCUUCGGGUUGUAACUCUUCAGCGGGACGAAGCGCAAGUGACGGUACCUGCAGAAGAAAGCACCGCUAACUACGUGCCGAGCAGCCGAC
This 471-nucleotide ribosomal RNA is filed under the name uncultured soil bacterium. Its description in RNAcentral is "bacterial SSU rRNA". It matches the Rfam family "Bacterial small subunit ribosomal RNA", at positions 26 to 518 of the family's 1533-position model. The record is from RNAcentral.